This is a long non-coding RNA of Chelonia mydas (Green sea turtle), 750 nucleotides long. RefSeq lists it as uncharacterized. The record is from RefSeq and is a predicted model, not a curated record. Lineage: Eukaryota; Metazoa; Chordata; Testudines; Cheloniidae. The transcript has 4 exons.
UGUGGGCAAGACCCACCAGCCAGACACCUGGGAAAGAAUUCUCUGUAGUAUCUCAGAGCCCUUCUGUGGUGGGGUGGUGCCUCUUAGAAGAAUGGCUGAACCAGGCCAGAGAGACUGCGCAGACCCGCAGCAGCCAAUUAGAGAAGGCUUGGGGAGAGCCAAUCAGGGCCAGCCUAGGCCCUAUAUAAAGGCUGCCUAGCAAAGAGCAGGGCAGUGUCUCCCUGGUGGUCAAGGGAGGAGGACUGGCUCCUGAGCUGAAAGAUAGCACCUUGGACAGAGCAGUGCUGGGGAAGGGCAGAAGGAGCUGGGGAGCUCUGGCCAAGUAAAACCCCAGGCUGCCGGCCGAGCUACCAAAGGCUGGGCAGACGGCGAGAGACUGCCGGGAUGCCACCGGCAGAGGGCGCUCUGCAGCGGACAGAGCUAAUUCCCAGACGUGCCAGCGGGAGGCGCCGUGGUGAGAUACUGGAUUGUAUUCAUACUUCAAAGCAAGUACCGAAGAAGUUGCAAGACAUCUAUAUGAACAGGAACCUCUACCAUUAUGUGAAAGCACAAGAGCCUUCCUCCCCAUCUUGAGGUGUUUAGAAUAUAUAAUGGCCAUUUUUGGUGGAAAAAGAUGACAGCUUUAAUACAGACACACAAGACAGAAAUAGCUGUAACACAGCUGCACCAGCCAUAAAAUAAAACUGGCUAUUGUAGAGAUUAUUAUUAUUUUUCUGCAAACACUGGUUGUUAGGAUAUAUUAAUAUUGUA